GAGACACGGUGCCCUUGGCUGCUCAGUAGUCAGUGUAGGAUCUGUCCGACAGUCUCACUAACAGCUACAUCUGAUUACUGGGUCACCAAAGGACCACCACCGCGCUGCAUG
Gallus gallus (chicken) is the source of this 111-nucleotide non-coding RNA. RefSeq annotates it as microRNA 222b. The record is from RefSeq and is marked provisional. The transcript has a single exon. Lineage: Eukaryota; Metazoa; Chordata; Aves; Galliformes; Phasianidae.